CAUAAACUAAAGUGUUACUGAAUAUUGAUUCAUCAAUAACCUUUUGCCAUCUAACUAAACCAAUAUGCCAAUUUCUGUUGGAUCUGAAGAGUUGUCCAUGGUGCAACUGCAAGGAAAAAGCAUAGAAAGAACAUAUCAAACACAAAAUCAGCAAUACUUGAAUGGAGAUUUUGUUUAAUUUCUCAGUUGCUUAAGUGGUUUUGUGUUUAAAAAAUUCUGUAAUUUCUUAAAGAAUUAUGUCAAGAGGCGGAGCUUAACACAGGCCUGUCAAACACAAACUAGUUCAGCAUCACAGAUCACUGAGGGAAGCAGGAACCUGUUCAUCAUGUUCACUUGUGCACUUAUAUUGCUGACUUUAACUCAAGGUAUCAGAGCUAAAGAGGUCAUCACUCCAUACAGUGAUGCAGUAUUUGCCACUGAGACUGAGAGUGAGAAACUCUCUUGUAACUACAGCGGUUCUGUUGAAAGUCUUCUCUGGUAUCGACAAUAUGCAGGUUCACCACCACAGCUCCUCAUACUGGAAACCUAUGGAACAGUUAUUCCCGCUGAUCCUCCAGUUCCUGGAAUAUCCAUCAGUCACAGAAAAGAAGACAAACAUGUGGAUCUGAUCAUCUCCUCUGCUGCAGUAUCAGACUCUGCUCUGUAUUACUGUGCUCUGAGGCCCACAGUCACAGGAAACACAAGAACACUGUACAAAAACAUCAUACAGUACAUGUGAAAGCAUGUAUUAAGAAUAUAUAGUUGUGCUAUUGAAUUAUUAUUUGAUUAUUAAUUUACUCUGAACUUUGUAUUCAACAAAUACAGAUGUACACUGUUGAUUAAAAUGCAUUGGUAAUGUUCAUGAAUUUUAAGAUGAAAUGAUUAAACAGGAUUACUUUAAAAUUGCUAGUGAUGGAAAAAUCACACUUUAUUCUGUAACAAACUGUCAUGCUUUUCUUUCACAGUCUUCUUAAAAUAAAUAUUUUGCUAUUAAAGGCAACAUA
Non-coding RNA from Megalobrama amblycephala (Wuchang bream), 983 nucleotides. Lineage: Eukaryota; Metazoa; Chordata; Actinopteri; Cypriniformes; Xenocyprididae. The record is from the annotation of a RefSeq genome assembly.